RNAcentral lists this ribosomal RNA (233 nucleotides) under uncultured bacterium. Its description in RNAcentral is "partial 16S ribosomal RNA". It matches the Rfam family "Bacterial small subunit ribosomal RNA", at positions 15 to 237 of the family's 1533-position model. The record is from RNAcentral.
GAUCUGGCUCAGGAUGAACGCUAGCGACAGGCUUAACACAUGCAAGUCGAGGGGCAGCAUUGUUUGUAGCAAUACAGACAGAUGGCGACCGGCGCACGGGUGAGUAACGCGUAUGCAACCUGCCUAUCAGAGGGGAAUAACCCGGCGAAAGUCGGACUAAUACCGCAUAAAACAGGGGUCCCGCAUGGGAAUAUUUGUUAAAGAAGCGAUUCGCUGAUAGAUGGGCAUGCGUU